Molecule: unclassified non-coding RNA, 5880 nt
Filed under: Haliotis rufescens (red abalone)
Lineage: Eukaryota; Metazoa; Mollusca; Gastropoda; Lepetellida; Haliotidae
Description: arrestin domain-containing protein 2-like, transcript variant X2
Source: RNAcentral
GGACGAGGCCGAGCACUGCCGGACUUGGGGUCGUCUGCAGCAAAGCUUCCAACAGCUACAAGUCACCCUGAGAUAUGAAGAAUUGGAUCCCCUAUCAAACAAGAUCAAGCUGAUCACAUCGCAGUCGAUCUCAGUUCAAUCAUGGAGAAGCCGAACAUUUUCGUGGUGUCCUUUAGCAACUUGCAGGGUGUUUACUACGCAGGCCAGGUCAUGCAGGGCAAUGUCACGGUGGAACUCAUAGACACUAUGAAAAUGAGAGGGAUUCAUCUCCAGUUUGAAGGCAGUGCCUAUGUACAUUGGACUGAGAGACAUACAACAGGUUCUGGAGACAACCGGCAUACAGAGACCUACCACUACUCUGCUGAGGAACAGUACUUCCACCAGGACAUAUUGCUAGCUGGUAGAUGGAAGCAGCAGUCUGGGGAGAACAUCCAUCUGCCUGUUGGCCGCCACACCUUCCCGUUUGCAUUUCAACUCCCACCUCAACUUCCAUCGUCCUUUGAAGGAGAAUAUGGUUAUGUUCGUUACACGGCUAAAGGAAUCAUUGAUAAACCAUGGAAAUUCAACCACGAAACGAAAAGGAUGUUCACAGUGAUUUGUAUACUAGAUCUUAACCAGGAUCAAAAUGUGAGGAUACCUGCUCAAUGUGCCAAGUCCAAGACACUUUGCUGCUGGUGCUGUGCAUCAGGACCAAUCUCUGCUAACUUCUCCAUCGACAGACAGGGAUAUGUUCCUGGGGAAGCCAUCAUUCUCAAGGCUGAAAUUGACAACCAGUCAAACAGGAGAAUAAAGUCAUCAUCUGUGAAAAUGAGAAUGGUGACAAUAUACCAUACUAUCAGGAAAUCAAGAACUUCAAGCCGUGUGGUUGCAAGGUUGAUGCAUGGCGAGAUCCAAAAAGGGGGACAUGAUUACUGGAAUGGUGACCAACUGGUUAUUCCACCACUGCCGCCAUCGUUACUCGUCGGCUGCAACAUCAUCGACAUAGGGUACAUUGUACAGCUUGAAGUGACUCCUUCAGGACCUAGCUUUGAUCUUGACAUCCCUCUACCAGUGAUAAUUGGCACCAUCCCUCUACAAAGUGUCCUUGCUCAGCAUCCUCCCACUGCCCCUCCAGUAGGGGCCCCCAUGAUCAUGCCAAAUCCUGCAGGUGCCCCCCAACCAGACACAGGAGCCCAACAUUCCCCUGCAGGAGCCCCUCCGCCAGGGUCAGAAGCCCCACCAGCUUAUCCCCCAGCCCUACCAUCAUAUGAAGAGUGUGUAUUUGGCAAGGACGGCACCAAGGAAGAAGGGGAGAAUGAAAAACAUCUGCAGGAAGACAAUAGCUAUGCUCCUGUCUACACAUACUAUGACUGGGGCAACAAGCCCUCUGCCCCCCCAUCAUAGGUUUGGUAGCCUAGUGGUUAAAGUGUCCUCUCAUCAUGCAUAAGGCCCAGGUUUGGGUACAAUGUGUGAAGCCCAUUUCUUGUGUUCCUCUGCAAUGAUAUUGCUGGAGUGUUCCACAAAAUGACAUUAAACUAUACUCCCUCACUCACUCCAUGAGAGUAGAUAUCAGGGGUGAUGAGGUAAACUAAAACUCCCUUCUAGUUGUAUUAAGACUGGGACCACAAGCCCUCCACCCCUCCAUCAGAGUAGAUAUCUUGGGUGCUGAGGUAGAUAAUAAUGCUCUUCUAGUCGUAUUAUGACAGGGGCAACAAGCCCUCUGCCCUCCACCCUCUAUCAGAGUAGAUAUCAGGGGUGCUGAAGUAGACGAUAAUGCUUGUCUUCUCAUUACGACAGGGGCAGAGCCCUCCACUCUCCAUCAGAGUAGAUAUCAGGGGUGAUGAGGUAGAUUAUAAUGCUCUUCUAGUUGUAUUAUGACAGGGGCAACAAGCCCCUGCCCUCCACCCUCUAUCAGAGUAGAUAUCAGGGGUGCUGAAAUAGAUUAUAGUUCUCUUCUAGUCAUAUUACAACAGUGCCAAAGUCCUCCACCCUCCCAUCAGAGUAGAUAUCAGGGGUGCUGAAGUAGAUUAUAAUGCCCUUCUAGUUGUAUUAUGACUAGCAACAAGCCCUCUGCCCUCUGCCCUCCACCCUCCAUCAGAGUAGAUAUCAGGGGUGCUGAAGUAGAUGAUAAUGCUUGUCUACUCAUUACGACAGGGGCAGAGCCCUCCACUCUCCAUCAGAGUAGAUAUCAGGGGUGCUGAGGUAAAUUAUAAUGCUCUUCUAGUUGUAUUAUGACGGGCAACAAGCCCUCUGCCCUCCACUCUCCAUCAGAGUAGAUAUCAGGGGUGCUGAAGUAGACGAUAAUGCUUGUCUUCUCAUUACGACAGGGGCAGAGCCCUCCACUCUCCAUCAGAGUAGAUAUCAGGGGUGAUGAGGUAGAUAAUAAUGCUCUUCUAGUUGUAUUAUGACAGGCAACAAGCCCUCUGCCCUCCACCCUCCAUCAGAGUAGAUAUCAGGGGUGCUGAAGUAGAUGAUAAUGCUUGUCUACUCAUUACGACAGGGGCAGAGCCCUCCUCUCUCCAUCAGAGUAGAUAUCAGGGGUGCUGAGGUCGCUGUCAUAUUGCUGAAUGUGGAGUUAAAAAAACAAACAAGAAAUAAUUAGCAGGUGUGCUCUUUGUUGUAUUUGUCACCAUUAAAAAGAUUGGAUGCCAGAGAGAAGUCCCAUGUCACAAAUACCCAUUGUCGUCCUUCAUUCGUACUGUUUUGGCUGUAUCUCGAGAUAUAGAGGUAAAAACAGUCCAAACAUAGGUAACAAAUUCCCUGUGGGUCAUAUAUUUUAUAAUAGUUAAUCUUGUCUCUUAACAUUAAAACAACUGGCAUUUUUCACUUAUUUUGAUGACAUAUAAUGCGGUGGCAUAUAGUCAUCAUCUGGUCUGUCCGUCAGUCAAUUUCGUUUCCGUAGCUUCAACUUAAAAACCAUGAAAGACUUUUCAUCCAAACGUGGUACAUCUAUUAACCGUUUCGAGUGGAACAAGUUUGACUUUGACUCUGUUCACUGUGCAUGUUGUGUUUGUCCGACCACAUCUCUAAACCUAAUAGGUAUUCUUUCAUGACACUUUGCACACACAAAGACUGGUACCUUUUGAUAUUUAGGGAUUUUUAGAAAAAAAAAUUCCGUUUCCAUGGCAACACGUUUGACUCUGACUCUGUUCAUAUUGGUGUGUACGUGGCAUAGAAAUACAAAGUUCCGAAUCCUAAUCCAAUGGUAUUGUGAUAGCUCAAUAACUACUCAUGUAGACUGAAAGGUACUUAGUCAAUUUUAGCUCACCUGACUGAAAGUCAUGUGAGCUUAUUGUGUCAUGGCCUGUUUGUCCGUGCAUCCUCCAUUAAGACGGUAAACAUCUCGGAAACCACUAGAUCGAUGAAUCGGAAACUCCACGUGCUUGUUCCUCUUUCUUCACGAAUUUCGAAUUCCAUUUUCAGUAGGUCGUCGCCAGCCAGUGUUACCUGCAUACACAUCUCACACACACUUACACAAAUAGGAAGGAAAUAUUUGAAUUUGAAAUAUUUCUUGUGAGAAUCGUAAGUUUUAGGAAAAUGAAACCUAAAGACGGUCACUUUCAACCCAGUUUUACACCAGUAGCCUUCCAUCUUCCCGGGCAUCUCGUAAUGUUGCUUGUUGACAACAUGUUACUGAUUUUGUAUUCACGGAUGCGACAUUUUCUAUAUUGUGACCUGUCACUGUCUUAUCUCCUUGCUAUUUCAGCAUGUGUACCAUCCCCACAAGACCUGAAAAAACAAUACUAAACAUCGUAAGACAGCUUCUACUUCUCCCAACCACUUCGUUAUAAGAAGGAUAAUACUUCAAAUAUCGUCAUAUACCAAUAUCGGACAUAUAUCAAAUAUGUAAGUAUUAAAAUAGAGAACGUAAGGCGUUAAGAGAAAUCACACCGGGGGAGAUUGAAUAACAGGAAUAAACAAGAUGGAGCAAAUAUUCAUUUCAUCGAAUCUAUUUGAUCACUUUUGAACGUCAAACGAUGCAGCACUUGUUGAAUUGGACUUCCGAGUCAAUUUACGAAUUAUAUAGAAAUGCAUCACUUUGAAAUUCUAAAUAGUGGCAUAACCACCUUAAAAUUGCAAAAAGUAUGGUUUAGAUUUUGUUGACGGGAACGUCUUCAGAUUUAAAACAAUAAAUAUGAGUGACUAUGAUAUAAAUUCCACACCGAACGAACUUUAUUCAUAUCAACUAUAUAAAAUCAGUAAAUCAGUAGCGCAAGUGUUGGAAAAAAGUCAAUCCUGCCGAUAAUGUAUUUGUUGUCUGCUGAUAGAAAUCAAACAAAAAGCCUUCAUAGUGAUUUUACAAAAAGCUGAUGAUACAGCAAAAUGCAUAACAUUGGUAUUAAAGGUGGAUACGUAAGUACAGCAUAUGUCUAUUAACCUUUUAUCAAUUAUGGUGCAAUAUAGAAAUAUACUUUUCGUAUUUGUACCAUCACAUUCGAAGCAUAACGUUUAGACAGAUACAAAAUAAAUCGCCUAUUUUUGUUUCAUGUUCGCUGAUUGGGAAUAGACGUAAAUAUUAAGUUUGUGAAUGUAAUUUUACUGUAUUGGCAGUAAAAAAGUUUACGCAUUCCUUCCUGGUGACACACCGUUCGAGUUAGAAAAGAAAAGUCAACAACAUGAAUGGCAUCCGGAGUGUUUCCGUCAUCCUGUCAGCACUGUCGUUGUUCUGUGACUCAACGACAACAAUGUGUAUAUGUGGAACUGUUAUCUACCAUCGCACGACGUCCGCUUUACAGCAGACUUCGAUCGUGUGUGGACGCUGGAGAUAACAUGGAGUUCGUGAAUGAAUGUUGUUUAAUACCUGUCAAACUUUGCCGUCUCUAUCACGACAGCCUUUAAGUUAAGGUAUCUUGCCUAGGGAAACCAGUGAGUUUUAAUAUGAUCAACGCUCCGCGCCAUCGGAUAGGCAAAGUCACAGGAGUAUACUAAGUAUUGUUCCAUCGGGUAGCAUGAGUUGUGUUUAAGCCACAUGAAUAAAAAUUUAAUUAUAUCGCGUCCUGUCAACGUAACGUGUGAGGAUAGGCAAGAGUGAUAAAGGCCGUAGGCGUUUAUAGGAUUCGCCACACGAGUAAACUAUGUGAAGCCAAUUUCUGGUGUCCGGUGCCUUGAUAUUGCUGGAAUAUUGAUAAAAGCGGCAUAAUAAUAUAUCCGCUGACUCUUAGACCGAGCAUGGUUGGUACUGACCAAACUGAUCACGACAUGAAACAUCAAGAACGAUAUAUUGCACCAUGUCGAGAAUCGAACCUCAGUCUUCUGCGGAAGAUUAUUGGUAGGUGGGAAGGUAUCUGAAAGUUCAUCAGGAAGACUUGUGCAGAGUUCACUGACCAUUCAAGGUUCUGUUCCGUGUCGGGUGCAGUGUGAGCACAUAGAGAACAAAUAAAGUAUAUCUCGCAAAAUCUCGAAAUAAAUAGCACCUACUGUCCGCCAGUGGGUCCACUGAACUUAAUUCCCUUUAUGUGAAUAUAAAUACAGCGGUAUCUUUGAGGCGACCGUCUGCCAACUUACCUAGCCACUGUCCGAGGGUCAAGUCUCGACUAAUACAAAGCAUUCCACAUUUAUCCCUAAGACGAGUCACUGUCAGACUGCAACGUACACAUGCGAUACAGGACUUUGCGAGCCUGCAGUAUCCCGCACCUCAUCCACGAUAGGGUUUGUUUCUUCCAAUAAAGGGAAACAACACUGCAACUUUCCGUCGUCCAGUCGGUGCCAUUUUAACUAGCCCGCGUAAUCACCAGGAUCCAAUUAGCGCCAGCGACCCAACAAACUGGGCUUCUGACCAGCGAGGGGCCAGCUGGAAUACCUUGCUGACAGUGAGGGGUAGUCCCCUCGAAUCCUCACAUUUGAUUGGAUGAUGCUUACUAUAACCUUUCACCUUGCAAAUUCAUCUGCGCAUGUAAGUGU